GUGAGCUGAGCUUCAUGCCUCUGUAACAGUGGCAGGUGUGUGGGGGGGAGGUAUUCUCUGCAGGGUGUGAGCUGAGCUUCAUGCCUCUGUAACAGUGGCAGUGUGUGGGGGGGGAGGUAUUCUCUGCAGGGUGUGAGCUGAGCUUCAUGCCUCUGUAACAGUGGCAGUGUGUGGGGGGGGAGGUAUUCUCUGCAGGGUGUGAGCUGAGCUUCAUGCCUCUGUAACAGUGGCAGUGUGUCUGAGAAACGUCUCCUUUAUGUGGCCUCUGCUCCAGGACAGGGGCUGGCUCGGGGGCGGCGUUAGCUCACAAGGUAGUGCGGUCGUCUGGCAACUGCAAGGUUAUGAAUGCGUCGGCUGUGAAGAGGUUGUGAAUGGGCCUACUGAACGUGUCGAAGUGUUCACAGCGAAUGCAAGACACCUAACUCCCCAUCGCUCCCAUGAUUACCGUUUGUGUGUGUGUGUGUGUGUGAGAAUGGGUGGCUGAGAGGGUGUGUGUGGGUGUGUGUGUGUGUGAAUGGGUGACUGAGAGGGUGUGUGUGUGUGUGUGUGAGAAUGGGUGACUGAGAGGGUGUGUGUGUGUGAAUGGGUGAAUGAGAGACAUUCAUUGUAAAGCACUUUGUGAGGUUGUUGCUGGAAAAUGCGCUAUAUAAAUGCAGUCCAUUUAGCAUUUAGCAUUUCCGCUGUGGGGGAAAACUCAUUAUGAAAUGAACAGCAGGCAGUAGCCCAAAGCAGGAUGGGGGCCCCCCACGGCUGGCUCGCCGGCGUGCGACGCGGCUGACUGAACCGGCCGGAUUUUACUGCCUCGCUCUGAAUGGCGUCGGGCGCUGACGUGGGAACCGCUUCUGCGUUUGAUACUUUCGAUUUUACAGCUUUCGGGAGCUGCCCCUGGUCCAGGGCUGUGCGGCGCGACGAUUUUGACGCAUGUGCGCCAUUUUAAACGCGCAAGUAUUUAAAAAAAAAAAAAAUUCCAUUCAGCUUAGUUUUGUCUUUAUGAAUGUCAUGUCUGCAGGGUUCGAAGUUCGUGAUUUUUCUUCUCGCGCUGGCAGUUGCCUGCAUUAUGGCAAAUGCAUUUCAAGUAGUCAUUAUCAUUCUACAGCGCGCCCUGGACAUUGUGGGAGAGACCAGCUUUCGAGCAGCAGCGCCAAGCCAGUCAGCUGGCAAGAGUCUGGAACGCAGAGUGUUUAUGUGGUGCAGUCAGUACUAAUGCAGCAACAUAACUGGAUGCACUGAAAUGCAAGAUGCAGUGAGGCAGUAUAAACUGUGGGUAAAAUGUUUUAAUAUGCAUUGUAUUCAGUGUGGUUUACAUGCAGGUUCCCUGCUUUCGUACAUUGUGGUUUCACCAUGUGGAAAUGACGGGACUUUUUAUUCAUAGCCCCUCCAUUUCAGGGCAUGUAGGUUUUCAGUGCCGUUGGGGGGUCGUGGUGCAGUGGUGAAAGGGUGAGAGUGGUGUUGUGAUUUAGUAUGACCGUAUGCGUGGGUGACUGUGGUGAGUGAUGAUGUGAUUUGGUAUGACCGUAUGCAGUGGUAACAGUGAUAGUGAUGUUGUGAUUUGGUAUGACCGUAUGCAGUGGUAACAGUGAUAAGUGAUGCUGUGAUUUGGUAUGACCGUAUGCAGUGGUGACAGUGUGAGAGUGAUGCUGUGAUUUGGUAUGACCGUAUGCAGUGGUGACUGUGGUGAGUGAUGAUGUGAUUUGGUAUGACCGUAUGCAGUGGUGACAGAGUGAGAGUGAUGAUGUGAUUUGGUAUGACCGUAUGCAGUGGUGACAGAGUGGAGAGCGAUGUUGAGAUUUGGUAUGACCUCAUACAGUGGUGACGGUGUGCAGGGUAAUGCUGUGAUUGGCUGUAAGUCUGGCUUGUCUCGGCCUGCUCUCCAGGUCAUUUGUCAGGCAAAUCUGACCCGCUCAUGCAGAUUUCCCUGCAGCCCCGAUGCAAAUCUGCAUCCUGCGCAGGUGCUCCGGCUGCAGCUCUCCCUCUUCGCUACUGGUUCAGCACCCCCCACACCCCCGCACCCUUGUGCCACCCUCUUCUCUGCAUGAGAGCUUCGCCCUCUCCUUUCAUCUCGAAAAGCGCUCAGUGGAAUCCCUCCCCUGGUUUUCAGUGCCCAAUUUCAGGGUGCUUUAUUGCCGUGACAUGUACUGUGUUCACAAAGCAGAACAGCAGAACAACGAUAGUAACAAAGAACAUUAAACUCUACAACCUGUAAAGCAA
This is a long non-coding RNA of Anguilla rostrata (American eel), 2208 nucleotides long. RefSeq lists it as uncharacterized. The record is from RefSeq and is a predicted model, not a curated record. Lineage: Eukaryota; Metazoa; Chordata; Actinopteri; Anguilliformes; Anguillidae. The transcript is spliced from 2 exons.